AAUAAAUUUUAAAAAAACAAAAAAAAUAAAGUGGAGUAAUGAACGCAUAGCAGUAUUCAUCUUCCUCUCUCUGUUUCGCGUUUCCAAACACAAACUCCAUGAAAAAACAAAAAUUCCUCAGGAAUUUUGCACAAAAAAAACAAAAUCAAAACACAAAAUUAUCUACACAAACCCUCUCCAAAAUUUGUCCCUCAUCACAAAUCUAACCAUGAAAUCACCAAAAAAAUGAUACACAAACCAGAUCGGAGCACCCAAAACGAACCCUAAACUAACAAAAUCCUUCAAUCGACUCAAGUUUCACACAAUCAAACAUGGCUAGCAACAUGGAAUCAUAUUUCAAAAGAAAACUUAUAACAAAAUGAAAGGUAAGAGUGACUUAUUACCAAUCCGAAAGUUAUCGGAGCGACGAUUCCGUGAGGACAAAAGGGCUUUUCUGCUUAGAAAAGCAGAUGCAGCAGAAGAUGGAAAGAUAAGCCAUUUUGUGUUAUUUUGGGUUACUGCAAAAAAUAAACAUGUAGUAAACUUUGAUAUGUUUUGAAAUAUUUCUUGUUUUAUAAUGUUUGAAGUAACUGUAGAAAUUUGUUGUGAAUUUUCUGAUGUAAUUGAAGUCCCUUUUGUUAA
Molecule: long non-coding RNA, 621 nt
Organism: Lathyrus oleraceus (garden pea)
Lineage: Eukaryota; Viridiplantae; Streptophyta; Magnoliopsida; Fabales; Fabaceae
Exons: 2
Source: RefSeq, a predicted model, not a curated record